GAUUCAAGUGUUCAUGAUCCACAACAAAUGCUUUACUAGGAUCGUUUUCCAACAACAUUUGGAUUCGACGAUCAUUCUACUCAUUCCGCUCGUGGCUAGAUCUUGAGUUGUUAGCUAUUGUUGGAUCCGACGACCAUUCUACGCAUCCCUCUCAUUGCUAGAUAUUGAGUUGAUAUCUACGUUGGUGAG
This is a long non-coding RNA of Solanum dulcamara, 189 nucleotides long. RefSeq lists it as uncharacterized. The transcript is spliced from 3 exons. The record is from RefSeq and is a predicted model, not a curated record. Lineage: Eukaryota; Viridiplantae; Streptophyta; Magnoliopsida; Solanales; Solanaceae.